CUCGGUGAUGCUCAACGUCCGCCUGCAGUGCGGAUCGAGUGAGCAAACGCCCUCCGCCACGGCGGAGAGGGCCAUCCGCGCCUUCCGCGCCAUCCUGGCGGCCGCAGGAAGGACAGCGGGGCGCACAGUGCCUCCAGACUGCGGCGGGGAGAGCAAGCGGCACAGCCAGGGCCCCUCCAUUUUAGGUCUCUGCGAAAGGCCUGAGAAACCGCAUCCCAAACCGCAAAUCCUUCACAGCCCAGUCCUUUUCCUCUGCAUCCAGAGAAUCACCAGAGUCUGGCAAACCUGUUGCCUCCCCAUUGGCCGAAAGCAGGGGAGCCCCCAAAAAGGGAUGAUUUACCAGGCACUGUGCCUGAAGAGGACUCCUGAGAUGUCACCUGAACCCUAAAUGGGAGAGGACUGGGCCAGUGAGGUCUCAGGAAGGCCCUAGACAGUAAAGAUUAUCCAUCCAUCUCUACCUAAGUCAGGCAUUGGUCUUCUGGGGGAUGGCUCAGCCCUUCACUGAACAUUUCAACUCGGAUCCUAGAGGUGCCAUUGUUUCUGAGGCAGUACGGCUAGCAGCUAAGUGAAGAGCCUGCCUAGAAGGAGAAGAAGGGCCUUUCUGCGCUGUCCGGUCAGAGAUGUGGUUUCUGAAGUUGUCACAUGUUGUUUUCUCCCAAAGGUCUGGAGUCAAGGUGUUGAAUCCAUGUUGAACCUCAAGAGUAAGGGGAAAUGAAACCAUCUCUACAGGCCACUGCUGCAGCCCAGAGUCCUCGCUGCAGUAGCCCGAAGUUUGAUCCCAAGGAUGCACAUGGGGCUCACAACACUGUGCAACGUCAGUCCCAGAGGAGCCAGCGAUGUCUUCUACACUAUCCUGGGACCAAUGGUGUACUCUUCGCUAAAAUCAUGCACACAGGCAAAAUGGCUAUUGAAGGAAACUUCAUGAUUUUGAAGCGCCCAGAACUUGAUGCCAAAUACCCACGUAGGAUGCACAGUGGCCCACAACUCCAUUUCCGGGGCACCCAAGGCACCCUUCUGCCCUAUUCUGGGACCAGGAAUGCAGUUGCUGCUUAGAACACACACUCGGGCAAAACAGCCGUUC
RNAcentral lists this long non-coding RNA (1081 nucleotides) under Mus musculus (house mouse). RNAcentral describes it as "expressed sequence AW822252". Lineage: Eukaryota; Metazoa; Chordata; Mammalia; Rodentia; Muridae. The record is from RNAcentral.